CACAGAACCAAGGCCCACAGCUGGAGCCGUGGCAGAUGCUGAGUGACAAUCUUCCUCUUGUGGCUGAACAGGAAUCAGUGUGCAGAUUUCAGACCUUUAUGUUUGCUCUGCAUUGAGACAUGGAUCAUCAGAACCAGAUUGGGAACAACUUUGAAGUUUUCAAAGUGAUUUUGUAGUGGCAGCCUUGCAUCAGAAUAAUUCUCAAGCCUUUUUCACCCAUGGAGGAUAUGUUGAUACUGCCGCUUCCACCUUGGGAAACGUGACAAGAGGCGUCAUUGCCUGCCACCUCAACUAUGCAUCCAAGCUUGGAAGUGGCUGGAGGCAGAGGAUGGGAAGCUGUCACACAGGAAAAAGCCUUGCAGCAUCAAUUCUCUUCGGUGACAGAGCCACUGGAACAAAUUCUACUGGACAUUUUUGUGACAUAUUAUUUGGGGUGAUUAGAGUAUCACAAGCGGUGACAGAAUGCAGAUUUGGAAAACAGAAGAAAAGUCCCACUUAGACAACUUAAGGCACAAUCUGCUCUUAAGCACUUCCUCCCAAUAGCGUGCUGCUGUUCGAAUAUUUGCACUGGGCCAAG
Molecule: non-coding RNA, 577 nt
Organism: Heterocephalus glaber (naked mole-rat)
Lineage: Eukaryota; Metazoa; Chordata; Mammalia; Rodentia; Bathyergidae
Source: RefSeq, a predicted model, not a curated record